GUCUUUUGCAUGGCAGCAAGCACUGCCGCUGAAGGCAGGUAGAACUGCAAAUCCCAGCAAAACGACGAGAGGAAUUUCCAAGCAACAACUCGCUGUGACCGGUUCAUGGCCUGUCCCAAGGCUGUGGGUCAGAGGUGUUGUCAUAACCCAGUUGGUGUGUUUUCUUUCUUGGUGCAUCUUAUAACCACUGGGAGACAUUCUCACUCCCAGGUUGCAAAAGUUCUGUUAAGGUCCCUGGCUCAAGGUCAGAUGUUCAUUAUCAUCAGGCUUAGGCCACAGCUUUAAAUUCUUUAUUGUAAUUCUCCGUAGUGUGCAUGUGGAAAUGGACAAAAGGGUCACGAGUUCAAGUCUGGCAGCAUGGAGCCUACUUGAAGAAGAAGAAGAAGAAGAAGGAGAAGGAGAAGGAGAAGAGGAAGAGUUGGUAGGACGGCAGCCCCUACAGGUCUGUGAGGAAUUUCUUCAGAGCAUUGUUCUAGCGGGCUGGAACUUUGCUAGGGAGAGAAACCAGCAGAGCCUGUUCCACCAAUGUCGAGAACAGACAGAACUCCCUAGAACUCCAGCUGAUGGCCGGAGUCCUUAUUUCUUCCCACAUUGGAAUUUGCCCCACUUUGGAGUGAACGCUGGCCUGGAGAUCCUGCUUCUGUCUUUCUUCUCCAGCUUUGCUCCUUCUUGUCAUUCCCGGGCUUUCUCCCUAAGUCUUCUCUUGCCACGGACAGCAAGACACCCCUGGCAGCGCUGA
This 739-nucleotide long non-coding RNA is filed under the name Mustela putorius furo (domestic ferret). RNAcentral describes it as "lncRNA (ENSMPUG00000025469.1)". The record is from RNAcentral. Lineage: Eukaryota; Metazoa; Chordata; Mammalia; Carnivora; Mustelidae.